GCUGGGCGCAGUGGCUCACGCCUGUAAUCCUAGCACUUUGGGAGGCUGAGGCGGGUGGAUCACCUGAGGCCAGGAGUUCGUGACCAGCCUGGCCAACAUGGUGAAACCCCAUCUCUU
RNAcentral lists this non-coding RNA (117 nucleotides) under Pan paniscus (pygmy chimpanzee). The record is from Rfam by way of RNAcentral. RNAcentral also lists the same sequence under 1 other name. Lineage: Eukaryota; Metazoa; Chordata; Mammalia; Primates; Hominidae.